Molecule: ribosomal RNA, 1683 nt
Filed under: Triticum aestivum (bread wheat)
Lineage: Eukaryota; Viridiplantae; Streptophyta; Magnoliopsida; Poales; Poaceae
Description: partial small subunit ribosomal RNA
Source: RNAcentral
AGAGCGAGUCAGCAGAAGGGGUUAGAGGGAGGGUAGCACAACGGUACAGGAAAGCAACAGACGGCGUUAAAUAGAGUGAGUAGCGGUGAGGAGGUGUCGUGACGCGGAUUAUCCGAGGGGAGAGUGGAACGGGAAAGAACGGGGUCGGCGGCCUCGAGCUGUACGGGACGACGCUCUCCGCUACCGAUCACGACACUCCGCUGCCCGUAGUACCAACGCCCCGCUACCGUCGAAGGCCGCUGCGCGACGAGAGGGAAGAGAUAGGUCUUUCGGGUGUUUACCGAACCGCAGCGGGGCGGUGUGGAUCUCACGCGCUGGUCUCGGUCGUUGUAGCGGUGGUCCUUGCUCGCGGUGCCUCCGGUUCGAAGACUGGGCCGGUUAGGUGACGGCGAGGCGGCGCAGCAGCCGAUCCGGCGGCGCGGUAGUAGCCUCGAAGUACCGGCGCCCGUGGAAGUAGGCAACGGUGUGCGGUGGACCCGAACGGGUGCAAGGCUAGGUCGGCCGUUUGCAUGCCUAGGCAAAGGGGGCACAGGCAGGGUCCGGAAAGAUGGAGCAACCUCAGCAGUUCCGCGUCCGUGAGAGAUGGUUCAGUUGACGUAGCGCGGGGACGAGGCAGAGCCCUCCUCGUCGCUCGGUCGCGGGCGGAGACGUAGCUCGUGACGAGCUAGGCUGGUGUAGCGGGUUCCGGGUGAGGCGGUGGCGGAACGAGGCGGGAGUGGCAGGAGGGCGGCCUCCAGCGGUGGCUGUACUUGCGGCUUCUCCUCCGUACGCCACUCCCCUCUAGCGGCCGCACCGGGAGCAGCCACCGCCAGAGGCCGCCCUCCGCGUCUUAGCCCGCCAGCCCGCGCCAGCAGAGCCCGCCCACCGCCGCAUCUCCCCUUUAAUCUCCACCUAGUGGACCGCUUGGCAAGAAAUGCACCACCUAACGCCCAACUUAUGGACUUUGUCAUCCCCCCAAAGACAUUUUUACGGCUGCUGCAUGCCGUGUUUGGGUUAAGAGAAUUAAGAGAAAUAAUAAUAAUCCAUCUCUAACAAAUUAGGUGUACGUACGCCCAAGCGCUUAAAGGGAAAUGAUUAAUCGUAAGAACACAAAGGUUCCAGGACACUUGUAAGGUGGUGGAUAUGAACUUUUAAAAAUAUUGGUUUUUCUCUACUGCUACCACUACUAGUGCUCGUACUACUGCUCCUCCUGGAUAUAUGAGUCACCGCGGACCGUUGAAUAAGGCUACCUAGUGGAGAAGAACAUACAUAUGUCCCGUGACGACUACAAUGAUUACUUGGUCCACAACAGAUAGUACCAGCGUGAAAGACCUAGAUAAGGUUGUAGGCAACGUCCCAUAAGCCCUACCUAUGAGCACACGAUCGCGGUUUUGGAAGAGGGACCAAGUCAUAACUAUCAGAACCUCUUUUAAGCGAGAAGGAACCUGUUUUGAUAGGUUACUACCACUUUCCGCCAGGUCGAUGACAACCGUGUUGCAAUGAUGGUAAACACUAUUCGUUGACGAUAUAGAGCCUGUAACGAUACCAAGGGAUGGCACCAAUAGUGUUAUACGCAGGACUAUAUCCGGCGAAGUCGGACCUACUAGUCAGGACGCAACCAGAGCUCUGACCGUUAUCGACUGGGAAGGGUCUCUUAGCCAAUACCAAGUUUCGUUCGCAAAGGUUGCGGCUCCUAACCAACUC